This 420-nucleotide ribosomal RNA is filed under the name bacterium. RNAcentral's name for it is "partial 16S ribosomal RNA". It matches the Rfam family "Bacterial small subunit ribosomal RNA", at positions 355 to 776 of the family's 1533-position model. The record is from RNAcentral.
UGGGGGAUAUUGCACAAUGGGCGAAAGCCUGAUGCAGCGACGCCGCGUGGGGGAUGAAGGCUUUCGGGUUGUAAACCUCUUUCGCUAUCGAACAAGGCCCGCUUAGGGUGAGUUGAGGGUAGGUGGAGAAGAAGCGCCGGCUAACUACGUGCCAGCAGCCGCGGUAAUACGUAGGGCGCGAGCGUUGUCCGGAAUUAUUGGGCGUAAAGGGCUUGUAGGCGGCUUGUUGCGCCUGCUGUGAAAACGCGGGGCUUAACUUCGCGCGUGCAGUGGGUACGGGCAGGCUUGAGUGUGGUAGGGGUGACUGGAAUUCCAGGUGUAGCGGUGGAAUGCGCAGAUAUCUGGAGGAACACCGAUGGCGAAGGCAGGUCACUGGGCCAUUACUGACGCUGAGGAGCGAAAGCAUGGGUAGCGAACAGG